Molecule: ribosomal RNA, 253 nt
Filed under: uncultured bacterium
Lineage: Bacteria
Description: partial 16S ribosomal RNA
Rfam family: Bacterial small subunit ribosomal RNA
Source: RNAcentral
UACGUAGGGCGCAAGCGUUGUCCGGAAUUACUGGGCGUAAAGAGCUCGUAGGUGGUUUGUCGCGUUGUUCGUGAAAACUCACAGCUCAACUGUGGGCGUGCGGGCGAUACGGGCAGACUUGAGUACUGCAGGGGAGACUGGAAUUCCUGGUGUAGCGGUGGAAUGCGCAGAUAUCAGGAGGAACACCGGUGGCGAAGGCGGGUCUCUGGGCAGUAACUGACGCUGAGGAGCGAAAGCGUGGGGAGCGAACAGG